This 562-nucleotide long non-coding RNA is filed under the name Olea europaea (common olive). RNAcentral's name for it is "long non-coding RNA (OEUR_LNC003975)". The record is from RNAcentral. Lineage: Eukaryota; Viridiplantae; Streptophyta; Magnoliopsida; Lamiales; Oleaceae.
GGAAGAAAAAAUUAUGAACUAAAUUUAUCAAUUUCUGUAGAUUAUGCAAACAUACACCAUAAAUUGAACUGUGAGCCUCAGCCCCAAUUUUUGCACUCAAUCUGGCCAUUAUCCUCCACCUUCAUGUCAUCAUGACCAUGCAAUGACAUUGAUACCAUCAACAAUUCCUAAUGAAUCUUUCAAGACCAAAAUAUCAUCAUCUUCAAGUUUCAAUAACUUCAACUCUAGCAAAAUACUCAUUAGCAUAUAUACUUGCAAUCUUCAUCUCAGCAGACUGGUUACAAUUGUUUCCCCCCUAGUCCAGCACUCACCCCAGCUUUUGCCAAAACAAAAUAAAUAAAUUAGCCCAAGUUUCUAGAUGAUUUUGUAACAAUUUACUCGACACAUUUACAGGAUCUCAUAUCUAUUAACAAUACCUUAAAAAUCAUAAUCCACAGGUAAUCUUGUAAUUUUGGAAUUCCACGUACAUCAAAUAACACGAGAUUCACAAUGCCAUACUAAUGAAGAAGCAGAAUAUAAUUUGUGAGGCCUUCCAUAUUCAACCACCCCUUUAAAUUUGAAG